This is a transfer RNA of Ovis aries (sheep), 73 nucleotides long. It matches the Rfam family "tRNA". Rfam says of the family: Transfer RNA (tRNA) molecules are approximately 80 nucleotides in length. Their secondary structure includes four short double-helical elements and three loops (D, anti-codon, and T loops). The record is from Rfam. NCBI's taxonomy places the organism in Eukaryota, Metazoa, Chordata, Mammalia, Artiodactyla, Bovidae.
UCCCUGGUGGUCUAGUGGUUAGGAUUUGGCACUUUUCACUGCCAUGGCCCUGGUUCAAUCCCUGGUCAGGGAA